CGUUCCGUUUGGACGCUGGGCCGAUUGGACGCGUUCCGUUUGGACUCCGGGCCGAUUGGACGCGUUCGUUUUGGACGUCGUGCCGUUUGGACGCCGCGCCGUCCCAUAUUAACCAUGUCUAUACAUAAAGAUGGUGUUCGGUGCGCUUACAUUAAUUACGAUUGUUUAAAAUUAUAAUUGUAACGUGGUGAAGUUUAUUGUUAUUAAAUUUUGUCAUGAAGUUCGGGAAGUCUUAUCGAACUUUGUCAUUGAAUGAUUACAAUGAAAUAAAGUUCAUUAUUUCUGAAUUCUGUAGAAUCUAUUUAUAAUAUUUGUGCAUGUAUCUGUGAAAGAUUCGACACUUAAAAUAUAAAAAUAUCCUUAAAUAUGAUGUGCUGAAAAAUAAUGUUUCUUGUGACAGUUUUUAAGUGAUUCUGUGUUUAUAAUAGUUCUUGUAUCUGUUGGAAAAUAAGAAUCAGAAACGAAGUUGACAUUAGUAUUUUCUACCUAUUAAAAGAAUAUAUGUAAUAGACAUCAGCAUUUUACUUUGAAACUAUAAUGAAUUUGUCAGGAGUUGCUUAACCAGAGUCGAACAGUUACCUACUUUAAGGUUAUAGAGUGAAAACACUGUUUUGUGGAAAUUAUCAGACUCGUUUACUAUGUUGAUGGUGUAAGUAUAUCUACAAUAUGUGUAAUAUGGUGAAUACUAUACAAAUAAACUGAUUUAAUGCAACCUCCGAUGGAUAUAAAAAGCUAUACACAUCCGGGUAACAGCAAACUGAAGGAUGAGUCGCUUAUUUCAUGACCCAGAUACAGUCAGAGAAAUAUUUAUAAAUUUUGACAGCAUCUGUUCAGAUAUUGAUGGGGAAAUUACAAUCAGAGAAUUAUGGAGCUGAGAAAUUGAAUACAUACCUUAAUGAAAUUAACUAGUGCAGAUGAAACACUAACACAAAUAAAAAAAAGGUACUCUGAAAACCGAGAUGCAAUUACUUCCUCGCAAGAUAUAUCUGGAAAUAUGUUUGAGCAUUCGUUCAGAUAUUGAUGGGGAAAUUAUAAUCACAGAAUUAUGGAGCUGAGAAAUUGAAUAGAUACAUCAAUGAAAUUAACCAGCGUAGAUGAAAUACUAGGAGAAAUAACAAUAUAGGUACUCUGAAAACAGGGAUGCAAUUACUUUCUUGCAAGAUACAUCUGGAAAUAUUCUUAAGGAUUUACUCAGACAUUGAUGAGGAAAUUGCAACUAAAAAAUUAUGCAGUAGAAAAGUUUGAUAGAUACAGUGAAGAAAUUAUCCAAAGAAGAGGAUUAUUAAAUCAGAUAGACAAAUUAUUUUAUUUCAUCUAAUCACUUCACAUUAUUUUUUACUAUUUUUCACUUAGGUUAUUUAUUGGUAUUUAUUUAUCUUGAAUAUUUUACUUCUUUUAACUACUCUAACUUUAGAUGAAUGUACUACUUUUCAUUUUAUUUAUUUCACUUAGCUCAUUUCAUUUUACUUAGUUGUUAUACUUAUUUUAUUUAUAUAUUUAUUUUACCUAUUUUCUUAUUUUAGCUAACAUGGUACAAAUUAGUUUCUACGUAGAACACUAUAGUAUUAAUAACAAGUAAGAUAGUUAAGAAAGUAAGAAAAUGGAAAAUGGAAAAAUAUAUUAAAAGCUUUGUAACAGGUUUGGGAACGCUCCUGAUAAAAGCCCCAGGCAAUCCUGCAGGGGAAGUUUAAUAAACUUAUCUAUCUACUUAUUUCAGCUAUUUACUUUACCUUUUUUUAUUAAUUUAUUUUACAUAUUGACCUUGUUUACUUAUUUAUUUAUUUUAUCAUACUGUCUACUUAGUCUAUCUUAUCUUAUUUGACUAGCAUAUUUUAAGUAAAUAAAUUAAUAGGAAAGAAUGAGACUUUUGAACUGUAAUUUCCUUAAUAUAGAGUUUAAUUAACCGUUCACAUUGUCUUCUUCUACAUGCAAAUAAAUACUUUUGUCGAGUAAGAUUUUAUAAAUAACAAAAACAAGUUGUAAUAUCAGAGUACUUAUUUUACUAUUCACUUUCAUCUAUUUUGUAUCACUUGUAUGGUGAUUACAAAUCUCAAAUUCAUAGCAUUCGAUUAAAACAGUUCAUCUAAAAUAUUUCAUUAUUCAGACCAAUCAGAAAAAGUAUUGGAAUAUUUAGAAAUGAGACGGUUUCGACUACCGUCUCUCUGAGGAGACAGUCCGGCCGCUAAGAAAGACGGAGAUACGGUAGUCGGAACCGUUCCAUCUUACUUGAAGGAGCAACGUUGGAAGUGGAACUGGAACGUGUGCUUCAGGAGUGGUUUUCCCCUACUUGGCCAGGCCUGCUGUGCAGGAACAUUAAUGUGGUAGUAUAAUUAUUAUGUAGAAGUUGUCUUCCGUAAAGAUUUACGCCGCUGUGUUUGGAUACACAUCUUCUCCAAAACAACUUGGGGGCUCAUGUUACUACUACGCGUUUCUAUACUUGAAACAGGUUUCUGCCAAUUCUUAUCUACAAAAAAUGAAAAUGUAGAACAUGUAACUGUCGUUCAAAUUAAAUUAUGUUCUAUAACAUUAUUCAAACUGAAUUAAUAAACAGAAUAUUAAUAUUCUGAAAUUAAUAAACAGUAUAUACGUACUCUCUCCAUCUGCAGUUAUUGCGUGUACGUUUUGGGUACGUACACGAUCUUCAGCCAACAUUACGCCGCUAUGAUCUAAAGAACGAUACAGAUAAAAAUAGUAACAUUGAAUAAGAAAAAACAAGGUGGGAUCAGCUUGCACGCCAGGUGCACGCAUAAACUCCGUGUGUUCCUAGAUAGCUGAUAUUAGCACGUGGUUUUAAAAGUGGACAAACAAUUUUGUCGUUUAAAGAUAUUGUUGCACGUAGCUAUCUAGGAACCCACGGAGUUUAUGCGUGCAUCUGGCGUGCAAGCUGUUCCGACCUCGUUUUUACAUGUAUCUCUACGGAAAGUGAUAAAGUCUCAAUAUCUUUUGACUCCGACUAUCUAGAAAUACAAACGCCACGAUUUUGAGCGUUUCUCAUCAAGACCUUUCCAACGGAACCAAAUUUGUAUCUCUAGCACAUGUAGUUGCUGAGGAAUAAAAUGCAACGAUAGACGGACGCACACGGAGCGGGAAUAUAAGGUUCCUAUCUAGGAAUAAUUUAUUAACAGACGCGAUAUUUGCCGCUUCUGAAAAAGUAGAACAAAGUAAACAAAAAACAAGGAUAAUGAAAAAUAUAUAUAUUAUUUCUGCUGAAAAGAAAAUACCUGUAACAAAUGUUAUUUUUGGAAAUUCAUUACAUUCAUCAACGGUCGCGGUGGGUACCUUUUCUGAAAAAAUAAAAGAACGUAAACAAAAACAAAAAUAAUGAACAAAA
Molecule: non-coding RNA, 3331 nt
Organism: Osmia lignaria (orchard mason bee)
Lineage: Eukaryota; Metazoa; Arthropoda; Insecta; Hymenoptera; Megachilidae
Source: RefSeq, a predicted model, not a curated record